AAGGAUCAUUACCGAAUAUCCUCUCUGUGUUCCUCCUUGUAGUAGUGAAAUGGGGACCCGUGCUGACUGAAUUGCUCAUCCAUCACACAUGGUGGGUGGGCCAGUUCAGGAUGGGCGAGGUUGUUGAAGUCGAUUGGCCGGCUGCUGCGCCUUUUGGUCUCCAUCCUGCUGCUACGUUUUUCUAUUUUACCAAUCUGUCGCAUGUUGGUGGCAUCCUGUGCCCUUAAAUAUAUAUAAAUAUAACUUUCAACAACGGAUCUCUUGGCUCUC
RNAcentral lists this unclassified non-coding RNA (270 nucleotides) under uncultured fungus. RNAcentral describes it as "partial contains 18S rRNA, ITS1, 5.8S rRNA, ITS2 and 28S rRNA". The record is from RNAcentral. Lineage: Eukaryota; Fungi.